AUUGAACGCUGGCGGCAUGCCUUACACAUGCAAGUCGAACGGUAACAGGUUAAGCUGACGAGUGGCGAACGGGUGAGUAAUACAUCGGAACGUGCCCAGACGUGGGGGAUAGCUCGGCGAAAGCCGGAUUAAUACCGCAUAAGCUCUGAGGAGGAAAGCGGGGGACCGUAAGGCCUCGCGCGUUUGGAGCGGCCGAUGGCAGAUUAGGUAGUUGGUGGGGUAAAGGCUUACCAAGCCUACGAUCUGUAGCUGGUCUGAGAGGACGACCAGCCACACUGGGACUGAGACACGGCCCAGACUCCUACGGGAGGCAGCAGUGGGGAAUUUUGGACAAUGGGCGAAGGCCUGAUCCAGCAAUGCCGCGUGCAGGAAGAAGGCCUUCGGGUUGUAAACUGCUUUUGUACGGAGCGAAAAGGUCUCCUCUAAUACAGGGGGCUCAUGACGGUACCGUAAGAAUAAGCACCGGCUAACUACGUGCCAGCCGCCGCGGUAA
This 493-nucleotide ribosomal RNA is filed under the name uncultured bacterium. RNAcentral describes it as "partial 16S ribosomal RNA". It matches the Rfam family "Bacterial small subunit ribosomal RNA", at positions 29 to 523 of the family's 1533-position model. The record is from RNAcentral.